RNAcentral lists this small RNA (145 nucleotides) under Flavobacterium micromati. RNAcentral describes it as "Flavo-1 RNA". It matches the Rfam family "Flavo-1 RNA". Lineage: Bacteria; Pseudomonadati; Bacteroidota; Flavobacteriia; Flavobacteriales; Flavobacteriaceae. The record is from RNAcentral.
UUUUAGCCCAGAUAAAAGUGAAAAGCUUUUUGAAAUCGUGUUGCAUUUUUUCUUGCAGGAAAAGAGCGACCAGCGGAAGCUCCUUUUCUUGCUUAGAAAAAAGCAAACCCGAUGAGAAAACUUGCAACGAUUAGCUGGAUUAGCU